This 627-nucleotide ribosomal RNA is filed under the name uncultured fungus. Its description in RNAcentral is "eukaryotic LSU rRNA". It matches the Rfam family "Eukaryotic large subunit ribosomal RNA", at positions 24 to 664 of the family's 3401-position model. Lineage: Eukaryota; Fungi. The record is from RNAcentral.
CCCGCUGAACUUAAGCAUAUCAAUAAGCGGAGGAAAAGAAACCAACAGGGAUUGCCCUAGUAACGGCGAGUGAAGCGGCAACAGCUCAAAUUUGAAAUCUGGCUCUCUUUGGGGGUCCGAGUUGUAAUUUGCAGAGGAUGCUUUGGCAUUGGCGGCGGUCUAAGUUCCUUGGAACAGGACAUCACAGAGGGUGAGAAUCCCGUACGUGGUCGCCUGCCUUUGCCGUGUAAAGCUCCUUCGACGAGUCGAGUUGUUUGGGAAUGCAGCUCUAAAUGGGAGGUAAAUUUCUUCUAAAGCUAAAUACCGGCCAGAGACCGAUAGCGCACAAGUAGAGUGAUCGAAAGAUGAAAAGUACUUUGGAAAGAGAGUCAAAAAGCACGUGAAAUUGUUGAAAGGGAAGCGCUUGCAGCCAGACUUGCCCGCAGUUGCUCACCUAGGCUUUGGCCUGGGGCACUCUUCUGCGGGCAGGCCAGCAUCAGUUUGGGCGGUUGGAUAAAGGCCUCUGUCACGUAUCUUCCUUCGGGAUGACCUUAUAGGGGAGGCGUAAUGCAACCAGCCCGGACUGAGGUCCGCGCAUCUGCUAGGAUGCUGGCGUAAUGGCUGUAAGCGGCCCGUCUUGAAACACGG